RNAcentral lists this long non-coding RNA (354 nucleotides) under Apteryx owenii (little spotted kiwi). RNAcentral's name for it is "lncRNA (ENSAOWG00000005612.1)". Lineage: Eukaryota; Metazoa; Chordata; Aves; Apterygiformes; Apterygidae. The record is from RNAcentral.
UCUUUAUUAGUGCUGAAUCAGUUCCAGCUCCAGAAGAGCUCAUCAUUCCUCAAGCAAUACUAGAAAACUCAAUUAAAGUUGCCAGUGAACCUCCUACGGGCAUGCUAGCUAAUUUACAUGCUGCACUCUACAAUUUUGACCAGGUUCAUGAAGCUACUGCUCAAUAUUACGAGGGGAGUGUGGACUCCAGCCCCACCAUAUCCAUUGCUCAGUGUACUAGGACUACUAAGCAUCAGUGAAACCCUUCCUGCACAUAUAGGAGCUGGAGGGAUGCUCCUGUGCAGCUGCUGAAGACAGACCAAAUCAGCCAAGAUUCCAUGGGAAGACUUGUGUUAUCUCUUUGGCGAGAUUAUG